RNAcentral lists this ribosomal RNA (253 nucleotides) under uncultured bacterium. RNAcentral describes it as "partial 16S ribosomal RNA". It matches the Rfam family "Bacterial small subunit ribosomal RNA", at positions 524 to 776 of the family's 1533-position model. The record is from RNAcentral.
UACGGAGGGUGCAAGCGUUAUCCGGAAUCACUGGGUUUAAAGGGUGCGUAGGCGGCUUGGUAAGUCAGAGGUGAAAGCUUCCCGCUCAACGGGGGAACUGCCUUUGAUACUGCCAGGCUCGAAUUGGGUUGAGGCCGGCGGAAUGUGGCAUGUAGCGGUGAAAUGCUUAGAUAUGCCAUAGAACACCGAUUGCGAAGGCAGCCGGCCAAGCCUUGAUUGACGCUGAGGCACGAAAGCGUGGGGAGCGAACAGG